Molecule: ribosomal RNA, 822 nt
Filed under: Triticum aestivum (bread wheat)
Lineage: Eukaryota; Viridiplantae; Streptophyta; Magnoliopsida; Poales; Poaceae
Description: partial small subunit ribosomal RNA
Source: RNAcentral
AUGUCGUCCUCAUCCACCAUCUCGCUCAACCUUGGUUCUCUCCCAUCUGAGAAGCUCACCAAGACCAACUUCAUCCUAUGGAAGGCACAGGUCAUGCCGGGCCUGCGAGGAGCGCAGGUCACCGGCCUCCUGGACGGAUCAGAUAUAGCGCUACCGAAGACGGUGCAGCAGCAGGCGGACAAAACUACCGCCGCAACACCCAAUCCCCUGUAUGCGCAGUGGAUAUCAAAGGACCAGCAAGUCCUAAGCCAUCUCCUGAAUUCCCUAUCAAUGGAGAUCCUCGUCCAAGUUGCGAGCAAGGAGACGACGUUCGAUCUCUGGACUGCCAUCACCACCCUGUUCGCCUCGCAGUCCCAGUCGCGCAUCACCAACCUACGGAUCGCCAUCACCAACACAACGAAAGGAUCCAUGUCCAGCAGCGCCUACAUCUCCAGGAUGAAGAACCUGGGGGAUGAGCUCGCAGCGGCAGGCCGCCCCGUCUCGGACCCAGAGAUGGUGGACUACGUGCUUGCCGGCCUCGACAGAGAUUACGUCCCUGUUGUGGCAGCCAUUGGUGCAGUCAAAAAUCAGAUCUCAGUAGAUGAUUUAUUCGCCCAAAUUGCAGCGUUUGAUCAGCGCGUAGAGAUGCUCGGCGACGGUCAUGACACAGGCUUCAAGACCUCGGCGAACCUAGCUUACAGGGGGCGCGGGCGUGGCUACAAUAGAGGUCGCGGGCGCAACAACAGCAGAGGCCGCGGUCGAGGCAGGCGCCCCUCCCCAACGCCAUCUGGUGGAAACGGCGGCGGAGGAGGAGGCCGCGGCCGCCCACAGCAACAACGUUAG